AGUGAACGCUGGCGGUAGGCCUAACACAUGCAAGUCGAACGGCAGCACAGUAAGAGCUUGCUCUUACGGGUGGCGAGUGGCGGACGGGUGAGGAAUACAUCGGAAUCUACUUUUUCGUGGGGGAUAACGUAGGGAAACUUACGCUAAUACCGCAUACGACCUACGGGUGAAAGCAGGGGAUCUUCGGACCUUGCGCGAUUGAAUGAGCCGAUGUCAGAUUAGCUAGUUGGCGGGGUAAAGGCCCACCAAGGCGACGAUCCGUAGCUGGUCUGAGAGGAUGAUCAGCCACACUGGAACUGAGACACGGUCCAGACUCCUACGGGAGGCAGCAGUGGGGAAUAUUGGACAAUGGGCGCAAGCCUGACCCAGCCACGCCGCGUGGGUGAAGAAGGCCUUCGGGUCGUAAAGCCCUUUUGUUAGGAAAGAAAAGCAGCAGAUGAAUACCCCGCUGUUCUGACGGUACCCAAAGAAUAAGCACCGGCUAACUUCGUG
This 492-nucleotide ribosomal RNA is filed under the name uncultured bacterium. Its description in RNAcentral is "partial 16S ribosomal RNA". It matches the Rfam family "Bacterial small subunit ribosomal RNA", at positions 29 to 507 of the family's 1533-position model. The record is from RNAcentral.